Perca fluviatilis (European perch) is the source of this 693-nucleotide long non-coding RNA. RefSeq lists it as uncharacterized. Lineage: Eukaryota; Metazoa; Chordata; Actinopteri; Perciformes; Percidae. The transcript has 3 exons. The record is from RefSeq and is a predicted model, not a curated record.
AGGCAACAGCUUGAAAAGCUCAACCAGAUGACCGUAAAGGCCUGAUGACAAAGAUCACAGAUAAAUCUGCAUGGAGGGAACUUCUCCAAUCUCCGUGUCUUCGUGGACUCCUCGUCUGACAAUUUCUUCUGUACUGAGACCGCUGUGAGGUCUCACACACUCAGCAAGGAAAUUACUGGAAUUAUUUAGAUAAAGACAGUCAAUAUAGAAUCUGUGUUUUUUUUUUAAAUAACUACAUUUUGUUUAUGAUCCUAAAGGAAACAAGACUGCGUCAGCAUUGUCACUUAAUUUUAAAGGGGACAUAUAAUGAAAAACUCUCAUUUUCAGUCAUGGUGCACAAACAUUUGAGUAUCUGGAGGGCCGACCAACCCAAAACCUGAAAUCAAACAACCCAGCCAGUUCUUUGUGGGCAUCCUCAAUCUGAUGUAAUUCAACAAGCCAUUCAGAUUCAGCUCCUCUUCCUAUGUCACAUGCAGGCUGAUUAGAAUAUACUGUUCCUCAUCUCCACCAUGGAUGUAUUAUAAGAUAUUUCCAUUUCGGCACCCUUUAUCAUCAUGAGUGGCCGCGUCAGCCUCGUCAAGCCAGGAAGGUAAUCAUAUACAGGAAGGCCACAGCACAGCCGCAUACUUUACAAAAUGGAACAGAUUUCAAAAUAAAACACCCAGGUUUAUGGUGAUUUUGGAUGUUUUGACU